This 1413-nucleotide long non-coding RNA is filed under the name Coturnix japonica (Japanese quail). Its description in RNAcentral is "lncRNA (ENSCJPG00005009334.1)". Lineage: Eukaryota; Metazoa; Chordata; Aves; Galliformes; Phasianidae. The record is from RNAcentral.
CGCUAUUCCUCUCUCCACUUCCCAUUUCCUCUGCAAGUUGGUUCCACACCAGCAUCUCAACCCCACCCCAUCCCCAUCCCACCCCCAUCUCAACCUCAUCCCAUCCCAACCCCAUCCCAUCCCCACCUUAACCCUAUCCCAACCCCAUCCCCAUCUCAACCCCAUCCCAACUUUAUCCCCAUCCCCAUCACAACCUUAUCCCAUCCCCACUUUAACCCAAUCCCAACCCCAUCCCACCCCCAUCUCAUCCUCAUCCCAUCCCAACCCCAUCCCUGCCCCCAUCUCAUCCCCACCUUAACCCCAUCCCAACCCCAACCCCAUUUCAAACCCAUCCCAACUUUAUCCCCAUCCUCAUCUCAACCUCAUCCCAACCCCAACCCCAUCUCAAACCCAUCCCAACUUUAUCCCCAACCCCAUCUCAACCUCAUCCCAACCUCAUCCCAACCCCAUCCCAACCCCAACCCCAUCUCAAACCCAUCCCAACCCCAUCUCAACCUCAUCCCAACCCCAUCCCCAUCUCAACCCCAUCCCAUCCCAACCCCAUCCCAACUUUAUCCCAUCCCCAUCUCAACCUCAUCCCAUCCCCACCUUAACCCCAUCCCAUCCUCAACCCCAUCAUCAUCCCAACUUGAUCCUAUCCCCAUCCCAUCUCAUCUCCAUCCCAAGCCCAUACCAACACCCUCCCAUCACCAUCCCAACUUCAUUCCCAACCCCAUCUCAUCCCCAUCUCAUCCCAACUUCAUCCCCAACACCAUUCCAUCCCUAACCCCAUUCCAUCUCAUCCCCAUCCCAACCCCAUCUCAUCCCAACCCCACCUCAACCCUAUCCCAUCCCAACUUUAUCCCAUCCCCAUCUCAUUCUAACUUCAUUCCCAACCCCAUCCCAUCCCCAUCCCCAUUCCACCUCCAUCCCAACCCCAUCCCAUCCCCAACUCCAUUCCAUCUCCAUCCCAUCCUAUCCCCAUGCACACCACAGAGGUUGCCCUUCCACGUGCUGGCUCCCCCUGGGAUGCAGCCAAACCGAUUGCAUUCAUCUCACAUCGCUUUGCUUCAUUCUUGCCUCACUGCAGCAUCGCUCCUGCUCUUCCUCCAUCAGUCAUCAUUGCAGAUCACACUCCUCCAUCAGCUUCAAGAAGCUGCCAGCUCUGACAGCCUCAUUCUCACCCCACAUCCAGAAGGAUCCAACCCCAAAGCGACCACCUUGGCCUGGCCCAGAGCUGCAGGAGGAACUGAUGCUGGACAACACUGCUGUGUGACGCACUGCCUGCAGCCGGACAUGUCCAAACAUAUCCUUUAUCUGCUGGGAAAUGCUGGUUCAGCCUGGGAACGGAUGCAUUGGGGGGCUUUGCACGGGGGGCUUUGCACACUGCAGGGCUCAGCUGCAGCCCACCAGCUGCAGGCUCACCCAGCUUAG